This is a long non-coding RNA of Pipistrellus kuhlii (Kuhl's pipistrelle), 1627 nucleotides long. RefSeq lists it as uncharacterized. Lineage: Eukaryota; Metazoa; Chordata; Mammalia; Chiroptera; Vespertilionidae. The transcript has 2 exons. The record is from RefSeq and is a predicted model, not a curated record.
AGAGUUUCAGGAACCCCUAGAAGGGGGUGAUAGAACUGACUGGUCCUGAGCCCUUGUUCCCCAGGCGCCGGAAGUAAAGGGGGCAGCCCUGGCCGGGAGGAGGAUGAACAGAGAGGGCUGGAGCACACUCCAGGGACUGGGCUAGACCAGUUACAAGAUGACAUUAGAUGUUGAGCCCUCCUGACCUCUUGCUUUCUCACAUUCCUUUGCCCUGUCCCUCAUGCCAGCAGCCUCUCCUGUUCCACACGCCCAGCCAAGGAGGUGUGUGGGCAGGAGCUGUGUGGUCAGCGAUCUAAUCACAGCACAGAUUUGCUGAUCUGUGAGGUUAGAGCAGUUUGAAAACUACCAUCUAGUGGUGUGAUAUUUUGAUUCAAAACACCUUGCUAUUAGAAUUAAUUUGGACUGUUUUGCUGUCAGUAAAAACACUUUGUCCUGUGUUUUGGUCCUCCGUGGGUUUUAAACUAUGGUUCUAGAUGUGAGAGAAAUGUGUUUUUAAGAUGGCUAUAAAUUGAGAAAAGGGAAAGUAACACUCAGGAAACAGUCAAAUGUGGACACAGAGUUAUUCUCAUCCACUAUGACUGUGGGUAUAAAUUGGAUAUACUCCUUUGGAGGGCAGUUUGGCAGUUUUUAAUAAAAUAAUAUGUGUGUUUCUUUGACCAGGCAAUUUGACAUCUAGGAAUUUAUACUUUGAACACAUUUAUGCCAAAUGUAUGUAUUUCCAAAAUGCACCUAUGUACAAAACCAUAUGUGUACAUGUAUAUUUUUGCAGCACUGUUUAUAAUAGUGAAAACACAUGUAAAAGUAAUAAAAUUCCAGUUGGGAAACUAGGUAAGCAAACUAUUCUAGAUUUGUAGAAGAAAAACCAUAAAAAGCUGUUAAUAAAAAUAAGAGAUCUAUUUGUACCAACAUGGAAGAAUGCCAAAAAUCUGUAAGUAAAAAAAGCAAGUUGAAGAACAAUAUGAAUUUUAUGAUACAAUUUUUAUUUAUAUUUCAUGUUAUUAAAUGUAUGCUUGUAAGAUAUUUAGAAGUACUAGUAUACAUAACAAGUAGAUAACUGGUUAUGUCUGGAUAUGGGAUUACCACAUCCUGGCUGUUCACUUCCUGUUGCAAAAUUCUGUAUGUUUGAAUUGCUUUUUAUAUUGAGCACCUAUUAGAAAAAUAAUAAACAAGGAUUUUAAAGGUGAAAUUGGUAAGAGCUCUACCAAUGACAAAAUAAUGAAAGAUCACUGAUGGUCUAGGUCUAGGAUAUAAAAAGCUGUCAGCUUCUCCUACUCCCCAAGGAAGACAAAUGGGAAGGAGGCAGCAAAGGACAAUAACUGAUUUGACAUUGGAUUCAAAAUUUAAAAUAUGAUUUUUAAAAAAGGAUUCUGAAGUUACACUAGACAUGCCUACAGAAAUGAGGUGGCAGAAACACAAUAAUGUGUCUAGGAAGUUCUACUCAACAAAACCUUACAGAGCACGUACUGUCCCUUACUGAGUUGCUAUGCUCAGGAAGGGCAACUGUUCCAGCACAUGGUAACUCUGUAUCACACGAAUAAUAAAAUAGCUACAGUGCUGAUCAGGGGCCAGGCACUUCUUUCCUAUAUGUUACAUAGAUUCACUUUCAGACUUCAUCACAGCCCUGUGA